This 289-nucleotide unclassified non-coding RNA is filed under the name Hevea brasiliensis (rubber tree). The record is from RNAcentral. Lineage: Eukaryota; Viridiplantae; Streptophyta; Magnoliopsida; Malpighiales; Euphorbiaceae.
AUGUGAUGUGCCGCUGCCACGGGCGUAGAUGCCGUGCUCCGACGUACUACGAUGGAACCCGAGCGCCAUGAGCGUGGCGUCGAGCUUGGCGUUUCAAGCGCGUGGCGCUUGACGAAGACCGUACAUGGCUUUCCGCAGGCGCAACACCUUGUGUUCUUGAUUGUUGACGAGGAACCCAGGAGGCUGCGAGACGUAAACUUCUUCCUGCAGUUCGCCGUUGAGAAAUACCGAUUUUACGUCCAUGUGAUGGAUCGGCCAUUCCUCAUGAGCCGCAAGCGCGAUCAGCAGU